Molecule: ribosomal RNA, 421 nt
Filed under: uncultured Methanospirillum sp.
Lineage: Archaea; Methanobacteriati; Methanobacteriota; Methanomicrobia; Methanomicrobiales; Methanospirillaceae
Description: partial 16S ribosomal RNA
Source: RNAcentral
GGACUACGGGGGUAUCUAAUCCGGUUUGCUCCCCCAGCUUUCGUCCCUCACUGUCGGACCCGUUCUGGUGAGAUGCCUUCGCCAUAGGUGGUCCCACCGGGAUUACAGGAUUUCACUCCUACCCCGGCAGUACCUCUCACCUCUCCCGGUCCCUAGAAAACCAGUUUCCCCUGAACGCCCGCCAGUUAAGCUGGCGGAUUUCUCAAGGGACCCAAUUAUCAAGCUACGGACCCUUUAAGCCCAGUAAUAGCGGCCACCACUCGAGCCGCCGGUAUUACCGCGGCGGCUGGCACCGGUCUUGCCCGGCCCUUUCUUCACCAGUUAUUUACACUGAUGGACAGCCAGCCUGUGCUGGCACUCGGGGUUUCCUUAUCACGGUUGCCCGCAUGGUAAAGUUUUCGCGCCUGCUGCCCCCCAUAGG